GUGCCGCCACAAAAUCAAAACAAAUUAAUUUCAAUUUCAAACUUUAUUUUAACCAACUCUAUUUGAACAACUAGUAACUGACUAAAGUGUGCGCAUUUCAUUUUUACAAAUGCUGCAAACGAUCUUGCAAGGGACUCUAUCUGAAACCGGAGUAUCUACACGAUGGAAAACCGGUGUUCCGGCCUCAGGAAGAAUCCUUUUCUUCGGACUCGCACGGAUAUUGUUCGGCUUUCGCUCGCUUUCCACACAGCAGCAGAGGAGGAAGCUCAGUGGCACUGCCUCGCCCUCCUCCAAAGUCUGUGGAAGAUUUCGGUUACGGGUCUCUGGCAGCAAAAGACUAGCAAAUCCUCCCAAGAUUAGCAGGGCUCCCAUUACAAUUAGCGGAAGUACGAGCAUUUGCUGACCCUGCAACGAGAAAUGGGUGAAUAUUAUGGUCCCACCAUGGAUAUUACCGAGCUAAAGCUCAUGCCCAGUCCUCGCACCACCGUGGGAUACAGUUCAGAUGCCAUGAGCGGCAAGACUACAAAGGACGAGCUUAUGCCCAUCUUGCCCACGCAGUAGAGCAGCAGUGUGAUGUCUGGGUACAGAAAUGUGGCCACGCAGGCGACUCCGCCCACCAGCAUCGAUAUGAACAGGAUCCAGCGCCUUCCGAAAUAACUCAAUCCCGGCCAGAGUAGCAAAUAUGUUGGCAGUUCCACCGCCCCAGCCAGGAAGAAGUUCCAGAUCUCAUCGCCUCCUAGCGCAGGAGCAUAAUAACUCAGUCCCACGUAGACACUGGUGUUGGCAAACCAAAUAAGGGUUAUGAUCAGGGUCUUCCGACGCAUAUUGGGUCCCCGAAACAAGUCCAAUAUCCCAUAGUGGGUGGUCAUUGAAGAUUUGGUUUCCGCAGCCCUUGUGAUGACAAGUUUUCGCUGCAACCGUUCCACAAAAUCCCGAUUUACGCGCACACCAUUCACUCUGGCCAUUACUUUGAGAAUUUUAAUGGCCCUCCUGGUUUUUCCCACGGCCAUUAACCAUCGUGGUGAUUCCGGAAGCACGAAGAAGCAGGAGAAAAGCAUCAGCAAAGGCAUGGACACUGCCAAACUGAGUUCCCGCCAAUCACGUACGAUAUAGAUAACUCCGGCUAAUACCACCAAGCCCAAGGAGUAGGCGAUAUUCGAGACGAUGGUGCAAAAAACUCUCCUCUCCGGUCCCACCAGCUCAAUGGCCAGUACAUAGGGACUCGCCAGAAUAGCUGGCACCGUCAGUCCCACCACAAAGCGCAGGCCCAACCAAGUGUAAUAGUUCCAGGCAAAGGCACUGGCCGCACAGGCAAUGAUCUCGAGCAGCAGAUAAGCGUAAAAGGAUGGCCGCCUGCCCCACAGAUCCACUAGAUAUCCAAAUACAUAGUUACCUAGCAAUCCGCCAACACCGAAGACCACAAGCGCCAAAGUCACAAGGAAGCUGCGGUCGCACACCAGGUUCCACUGCAAGAUAUAUGAGGAAAUAAUUCUAACAUACCAUAUCCAAUUGGAAAAUCCCCACCUCUUGAACCACCGUACUUGAGUAUAUGGACUUGUCGUAGUGCCAGCCAUGUUGGCACGGCACCACCUGCGUCGUAUCCGGCUGCAACUUGAGCAAAUCCUCUGCCUGUUGUCGCAACAAAUCCGGAGGAGGUCGAUACUCAAGAUAGCGCACUAUAUCGGUGUAAUUUCUCGAGUACAUGGAACACUCGGCAUAGGCUCCAUUGCGAUUACGCGGAAUGCUCAGGUUCUUAACAAGCUGCACAUAGUCCUGCGUCCAGGGCUCCAGCUCAGGAACGCGACAAAAGUGCUGAGGUGUGGCCGCUAUGAACAACUGGCUAGAAAAUAAUCAUUUUAGAUAAUUAUGAAAAUUUUCUGAUGAGGUACCUUUAAGAGGCGAAAAGAAUACCAAAGAAGGAUGACCAACCUAUAUGCGUGGAAGGCACAGGGCAGCGCGGCGGGCAAUAGAACGGAACAGAUGAUGACCUUCUGGUAGAGACCAAAGGAGCCCACCUCCCGCAGCACCUCGUCGAAAUCCAUGUCCGCCCGUUAGCCAGACGCUCGCGCAACUGACGAUCGCGCCGAUCACCUUGUCCACAUUCAAUCCAGUCCAGGAACUGGUGGCGCUGCAGGGGCUGAUUGAACAUAAUUACAUUACGGCCUCUCGUGCGCAUUAAUUAAUUGGACACCGCGGUGU
Molecule: non-coding RNA, 2199 nt
Organism: Drosophila melanogaster (fruit fly)
Lineage: Eukaryota; Metazoa; Arthropoda; Insecta; Diptera; Drosophilidae
Source: Ensembl